AUGCAGUCCAGCAUGCCGGCUUUCAAAACCGCUCCAGGUGUACAAGUAAAGCCCAGCAAGAGGACGAAGAGAAGUAAGCCGGCCGAAGAGCCAAUCUUUGCUGAACCGGAGCUCAGAACGGCUGCUCCUGAUACUUCCGCUCAUGAGCCGCCGCCUGAACCAGCCCAUGAUACUCCAACUCUCACCACUGAUCCGUCCGUCGAACAAGCUAUGGAAGGUUCUGAGAACCCGGAGAACCCUAGCCCGGCCAAGGCGGAUGACCCGGACGUCGAAAUCAUCCGGACUGACUUCGUUGAACCGGGGAGACCCACCGCGCUGGCCAAGUGCUCCGCCAAAGAAGAACUUCUAGAACGCCGCAAAACCCGGCUGGAUGUCCAAGUGCCAAGUACCUUUGCCUGCAAAGUGCUCGGGACUUAUUUCCAUGAACCGCCACUGCCGCCAUUAAGCAAUUUGAAUCGGAGAUCUCUGACUUGA
This 474-nucleotide ribosomal RNA is filed under the name Triticum aestivum (bread wheat). RNAcentral describes it as "partial small subunit ribosomal RNA". The record is from RNAcentral. Lineage: Eukaryota; Viridiplantae; Streptophyta; Magnoliopsida; Poales; Poaceae.